CGGCUUAAUGAGAUAUAUGAAAAUGAUAAAAAGUCAAAGGGGAAUGAUUAAAAAAGUCUUAAGACAAAGACUAGAAAGAAAACUAAAGAGUUCACAAUUUUGUGUACCAUCGGCUUAAUGAGACAUAAGACCAUCGGCUUAAUGAGAUAUAAGACAAAGGAUAAAGAGUCAGGGGAAUGAUUAUAAAAGUCUUAAGACAAAGACUAGAAAGAAAACUAAAGAGUUCACAAUUUUGUGUACCAUCGGCUUAAUGAGACAUAAGACCAUCGGCUUAAUGAGAUGUAUGACAAAGACGGCUUAAUGAGAUAUAUGACAAAGGAUAAAGAGUCAAAGGGGAAUGAUUAAAAGGUCUUAAGACAGACUAGACAGAGAAAGCUAAAGAGUUGUACCAUCGGCUUUGAAUCAGACCAACGGCUUAAUGAGAUAUAUGACAAAGGUUAAAGAGUCAAUUAAAAAGUCUUAAGACGAAGACUAGAUAGAAAACUAAAGAGGUCGUAAGACAAGAUUGUGACUUGUUGGAUGGUAAAACCGACCAGCAGAGAAAAAGAUGGCUUAAGUGAAGAAGAGGUAAGUAUAUGGCAUUCACUUAAUAUGAAAGACUAACAAUUCUGAUUUGCGCAGGUAUGUGCUUCUGGAGAUGUUCAGAUUUUAAGAUGGGUAGAUUCAAUUGUAGCAGACUUCUUUGACAGGUUUAUAUUCUCAUUGAUGCCAAGGAUAAUUUCUGAGCGUAGCAAGGUUUAUGAUCAGGUAUAUGCUUAUCUCGACUUCUCCAUGAUAAAUUGAUUUUAUAGAACUUAAAAUUACAGAUCUAAGCACCAUAUAUAAUUAAAAUGUUUUAUUAUGUUAGCUGUCUUAGUAUCAUUACUAUCCUUGAUCUAUUCGUCAAAUUCUAGAAACUUCUUGCUAAAAUAUCAUUGAUAAAAAAUGUUGAUUUUGCUUUGGGUGUUCGAAUAUUACAUUGUGUGUUUUAAAUUGUUAUUGUUAAUCCUCUCUGGAAGAUAUUUAUUUUGACAAUAUAUGUGACUUAUGUAGAUUAUGAUUGUAGUUUCCUUGUAUCUUGAAAGUAUUUGUUUUGAGUUUAUGUAAGUUAUGUCAAUUAUGAUUGUAGUUUUCUUGGUAUCUUGAAUUGUUUUGAGUUUUAUGUUUAAAACCUUAAACAUGUGAAUGUCAUCCUAGAAUUCUGCAUUACAUUUUGUGUUUAAAGUACUAUCUCUGAUUUUGUGUGACUUAUGUAGAUUAUGAUUGUAGUUUCCUUGUAUCUUGAAAGUACUUGUUUUGAGUUUAUGUGAGUUAUGUCAAUUAUGAUUGUAGUUUUCUUGGUAUCUUGAAUUGUUUUGAGUUUAUGUUGAAAACUUUAAACAUGUGAAUGUCAUCCUGCAUUACAUUUUGUGUUUAAAGUACUAUCUCUGUUUUGGUCUUUGUGUGUAUGAUAGUUUCUUUUAGUUUAUGAAACGUAGAUGCAUCUUGGAGUCUUCUGUAGAUACGUAUAUUGAAUCUAUGUGAUUUUCCUGCACAUUAUUUAUGGUAAUAAUAUUCUUGAAUUUGUGUAUUUGUUUUGCGUUAUGCUCGAAACCCUUGGUGAUUGAUUAUUCUAAAGCUUGCGAAAAUUUUGCAUUAUCAACUAAUGCUUAUUGUGCUAGAUAUUAUAAAUUAUACCCCCUGGCGUGAUUCUCUUGUUUUAUGUAUGAAAUAGAUACAUGUAUGAGUUUCCUGUACGUCUUUGUUUUACGUAGUUGAAAUUCUUGCAGAUUAUGUUAGUAUUUUUCUUGAAUCAUGAAUAGAUUUGUUUUGUGUUAUGCUCUCAAUCUUUGGUGGUCGAUUCAAACAUGUAAAGUGACAUUCCCAAAUUUUGCAUCAUACAUUGAUCACUAUGAUUUAGUGUGUUAUCACUUGUACUCUUUGGCUUGUUCUUUUUUAAUAUAAUGAUCUGAAGUAUAUUCUAUUAUUGUCCUACUGCCUAUCCUUUGGUCUCUUAGAGUUGGUGAAACUUGCUUCUCGUUUGAAUCAUUCAUUGGUGUGUGUAUGUUCAGUUAGAAUAUGCAAAUGAUAUUUUUUGAUCUUUUGAUUCUUUACCAUAUGCCUUUUGUUUUAACCACACUUUUAUAUGAUUGAUGUCGAAGUUCAGCUGCAAACCUUUCAAUAUAUGAUAUGUUCCAUUAUUUUAUUUAAUCUUUCACCUUUAUUGUUGUCUGUUUGGUUAAAAUGGCAAUUUGAAUUUGAAUUUUAGUUAUGCUUUUUUUCUGCAUUUUGUAGCUUUGUGGUAUACUGUAUGAAUGGUCAUGACUCAUGAUCAUGAACACAAUUCUUGCAUUUUGGUUGGUAGACUUAUCUUCUUGCGUAAUUACCAUUCUCUGCAUCGUUUACUAUCUAUAGUGGUGUCGGAUUUGUAGAAAGAGUGAUUUCAUUAUUUGUCUGAUAGUUUUUUUUCUUUUUUCUUAUCAUUAUUCUAUGGAUGAUAACAUUUUUUAUGUUAUUUUGAUCAGAUUUUAAAUCUGAAGUUUUAUUUCAGCUUCUUCUUAUCCUUUUGCUUUCUAUAGUAUUGUAUCAUUUUGUUGUUUGUUUUAAUUGUUAGCCGCAUACUGUGGUCUAUGGGUUUGGCUUCCCACGGUAGUACCUCCAAAUAUGCUAGUUAGAUUAGAUGAACGGAAUCUAAAGAGUGAAUAUAUAGUCCGAUGCUGCGGGAGCAGUGUCACUCCAUGUUAGGAAUGUCUUUCGCUUCAUAUGUUUGAGGUUUAGAUAUUUAUACCCUAUAUAAUGGGUUUCUCAAGUUUAUGUGUGGAAUGUGUUGUACCCUUAUAGUUGGGUUAACUCUCGAUCUGAUCUAGUACAACUAGUUGGUCGAACAAAGCACAAAAACAUAAACAUAAACAAAAAAGAUCUCAGGAUAACUCUCAUGACUAAAAUAAUUCACAAAACUUUUGCUGUAAACUUAUUUUAUUAAUUUGAACCAAACUUAACACAAUUCUUGAUUAAGUCCAUAUAUCCUCCAACAUUAAAAAUUCUCUGUUUUAUCCUCUCCAAAAGCACAAAUACUUAAGAACAUAAGCAAUAAAGUUCCAUAAAACUCAUACUUGAUGACAUCCAUUAGACUUUAUCAUCAUCACAUUAAACUUAGUGCAGAAAGUUUUAUAAAACAUAUAUUUAACAAGCACAACAUCCAUUUGACUCUUCACUGUUAGAUGAUAACUUUGAAACAGAAACGUCAUUAGAUGAUUAAAAAGCUACUAAGAAGCUGAGAGAGGGAUUGGUUUCACAACACUCUGAAUCCGCUCAAAAGCUAUUCUUACUCUUUCCUCAAGACCUGAAUGAUCAAUUUCUACAUUGACAUUACCAUUGACCUGAUCACCAGUUUUCCGUUCUCUCCUAGUUUCACCAGAACACCGCUCAAUGUAUUUUCUGCCAAUCUCCCAAUGGUUUUUGCCAACGAAGCCAUAUCAGAAUGAAAAACAAACAAACUUUCUUCUGAAGAUAAGGCAAUGAUGCUAGGUGUAUAUUGGUUUCACCCUACUUUAACAGGCCCUCACAAAUCCUAUCUACGAAACACUCAACACAGCUCCCAGAAGCGACUGGUAUGUAGCAGAUACUCCAGACCGUAUCCAGCAAGCCCAAGUAGAGCCCUCACAAAUACCAACAAACUGGGCCCCGACAACACCACACGGGUUGAACGGCAAAGGAACAAGCGCCUUGGACGUAGGAUCAAUGAUGAGGAGUAUCCUCGAAAAAGUAGAGGCGCAAGAUAGAAAGACAGAGGGAGGAAAAAUAUAGCGUUUCACCAUCCUCUCUCACAUAUGUGCAAGCCUUUAGGAAAAAGCCAGGCAGUAGGAAACCAACAACGAGCCAGAGGGAGGUCAGGAUGGUGAGAUAGCCGAGCUCAAAAGCCAAAUCCGAGAUGUAACGAGCAAGUUCCAGCGGACUACCAGCGUUGCACCUGACGCAGACCAUAUGAUGGAACGAUCCCAAAUGACGUCGUUUACGGCUCGAAUUCGUUGGAUCGUCGUCCUAACGCAAUCUUAAACGACGUUAGGUGAUGAGUUGGAUCCAAGUCUCCUUUGUAAGGGAUCACCUUGAUUUUGAAUUUGCCCCAAAAGAGCUUGACGCUGGAAGAUGCCAACUAUUCGUAGAAAAUUUAAGUGGUGGGGACUUGGGUUGGUUCUCCUCCCUACCAAAUCGAUUGACAGUUUCCACAAGCUUUCGUUGACUUUCCUAAAAUAAUAUUUAAUCUUGGCUAUCCCAACCGCAACUAAUACCGACCUCUCCAACAUCGUCCAAGGGAACAUGAGUCGUUACGAAAGUUUAUGGAAAGCUCGUCACACAAGUAAACGCCCAUCAUAGCGUGUCAAUCGCUGUUCUAAAAAACGCCUUGUGGUAUGAGUCAAAGUUCCGAGAAGACUUUUCGCUGAACAGGUUUCUUACAUUCUAGGGCGCCCUUCACUGAGCGUUAGUUUACAUUGAGAUGGAGGAAGAAAAAAUCGUCCUGGCAAUGAAAUACUCCCCGGCAAAAAUAUCAACCAGCAAGGCAAUAGAGGUAUACAACGAACCCUGACAGCAUCUACACAAAGAUAACAUAGCAGACAACAAAAAAGAGUAAGGGAGUUUGUCAACGAUGCCCCGCUACUCCUAGUCGCUAGUUUGUGAACUCCGAUACCGACGACCCCACCUAAAGGAGUAAGGGAGGAGCCCGACCACAACCUUCAUUGCGACUUACAUGAAUGUACCAGCCACUCAACAAUAUAUUGCAGGCACUAGCAAAAUGCGUUGCGCUGCAAAUAUUUAAAUGGCGAAGUCAGAGUGCAGUUGAGGCAAUACAAGAACAACACCCAACGAGGCCAAGGCAAUGCACGCAGCCAUCUAGGACAGCAAGGUCGUCCGAAUAACCAACCCGCACCAGGUGGAAAUAAAUAAUCAGGUCGGCGAACAAGAAAAUCAGCAAGCUGAUGCACCAAUACUCAUGGCUCGUUGAAGGAUUAGCAAAAUUUUGGGAGGCAUACCAUUCGACCCUGAGCCAUCUCAAUCUAUACGCCCUUUUCACGAUGUCUAAGGUACAAUAAUCGUUUGGCUAGCCGGUAGUACACCAAUCUGCCAGUCAUACACCCCAAUCGCAUUCAGGGAGGAGGAUGCCACCAGGUUACCUAACUCGCCCACCGGGCCCGUGGUCGUCGUUAUGAACAUUGGUAAUUGUUUGGUCCCACACGUCUUGAUUAACACCAGAAGUUCAGUGAAUGUAAUUUUUAAAAGCGUGCUUCCCCGAAUGAGAAUCGACUUACAUCUUGCCGUACCAUAAGAUGACUUUAAAAAGCUACUAAGAAGCUGAAAGAGGGAUUGGUUUCACAGCACUUUGAAUCCGCUUAAAAGCUACUCUUACUCUUUCCUUAAGACCUUAAUGCUCAAUUUCUACCUAUCUACUCUCUUUAUCGACAUUACCAUCAAGCCUAAUCACCAGUUUCCCGUUCUCUCCUAGGUUCACCAGAAUACCGCUCAACAUAUUUUCCAACAAUCUCCUAAUGGUUUAUGCCAAUUUCUAAACUAAUAUCAGUUUUAAUAGACUCACUCACAGUUCUUCCGGAUCAUGAUAUUUGGACUAUUUCUGGACCGGGCCUUAUGUGGGAGUGAGAAUCCACCCCCAAGAGUAGUCUCCCCCACUUUCAGUUCGUAGCUUUGCGGAGAGCUUUGUUGUGUUGUCCGAUCGUUUCCCCCCAAUUUCAGUUUGUAGUUUUGUAGAGAGCUUUGUUUUUAUCCGUAGCGUCAAGGCUCGUCUUCCUGAAUGUUGACCGCCUGCUCCUUCAUGAGUUUCUGUCAUUACUCGCACUGUUCUGUCGCCAUGCAGACACAUCAGCAAGGCUCCUGAUGCGCUCCAUCGAAGUAGAUGUUCCUUAAUCAAGGUGUAGUGGGCGGCUUUCGUUUUCAGUCACAGUGCUGCCCACUCAUCCGUUGAUAGGUCGCCGUCCGCCAAGUAAGCUCUAAUCUCCCCUUGCAGAAAGCUCGGAUCCGCUUGUUCUACAUCCCGCUGGCGAUUUUUAUCCGACGAGGAGCACCUCGUACUCGGCGACAUUGUUUGUUGCUUGGAAUCUGAGCCUGAACGAUUGUUUUAAAAUUUAUUCGGUUGUUGACGUCAGGCGGAUUCCCAUGCCGGAGCCGAGGUGAGAGGACGCACCAUCGACGUGUAAGGUCCACUAUCCGUCGGAAGGGUCGGCGGGAGUUUGCUUGGUGCCCUCCAAGACGUGGGAUUUGGCGGCUGGGCAGGUUUGAAACUCGAUGUAGUACUCCCUGAGCUCGAUUGCCCAUUUUAAUCGCCCAGACUGUGCAAUAUCGAUCUCAAGGACUGGUUGGUUAGGACGGCGAUGGUAUGGGACUUAAAUUACGGGCGGAGUUUCCUUGCUGAAGUGACGACUGUUAGGGCAAUCUUUUCGACUGUUGGGUAGCGAGUAUCGGAGUUGUCAAGCGAUUUACUGAUAUAAAAGAUUGGUCGCUGUUCUUGUAACGCCCGCGAUCCUGAAUAGGAUCGUAGGCCGGGACUUGGUUAAGAUGGAAGGGAGAUCUCGGACAAGUCGGCAAGGAGCUACUCGAUAGCUCGGACAAUGGGGAACACAUGCUAAGUAAGGGAAUAAAGAUUGGCCAGCUACAGACAGCUCUCGUCCAGCUACGGACAGCUCGACCAGCUAUUGGCCAGCUAGUGUCAGCUCGACCAGCUAGCGUCAGCUCGACCAGCUGCCAGUCAACUACCACUAACUCGACCAGCUGCUUUUCAGCUACCAUUAGCUCGACCAACUGCCUAGGAACUUGACCAAGCUCAGUUAGUUGGACGGUGGUGGACAGUGUGCAGGUCAGCUGGGGAGCUUGUGAGCGGUUAUGGGAUGCGGUGACCGAACAUGCAUGACCGAACGUGUACGAUCUAACGGGAGCGAUCGAAUGGUCUUGUCGGAUAGGUGAAUUUUGGGGCCUAGAUUUCGGCCAAGACCCUACAUAUAGAGGGUGUGGCCUUCAUUCCAAACCAUCAGCAGAAAUAAAAAAAAACUUUGUAAAUUCUCGAGUGUGAUCGAGAGAGAGAUCGAGAGAAAGGUUUUCAAGGCCGAUAGUCGGCAAGUAAGGUUUGAGAGACCGAGGUACAAUGAAGCAAUUGUGCUUACUUAGGCUUAUCUUGCUUCGAGCUGUCUAGUAACUUUGAAAGAUCAUGCUUGGCGAGUUUCUGUGAUCGUGUCCUUGGAAAUUCGAUGAGUUUGCCAAUACGAUCUUUUGUGGCCAAUAUGAACUGCCCAUCAUAACAAUCGCAAUACGCUAAGUGAUUAAUAUGCAUCUGUUAUCGUCUGCGGGAACAUAGAGAGUUUGCCGAGACGUGUCAGCUUUAUCGUCUGCGGGAACUUAAAGAGUUUGCUGAGACGUGUGUUGUAUCAUCUGCGGGGAUUGGGAGAGUUCGCCGAGAUAUGUUUGUUGUAUAGUCUGUGAGACCUCAAAGAGUUUACCGAGAUGGGUCUAAGGUAUCAAUGAUUUCUGUAAGCGCAACCUUGGGAACUAGUGGGUUUGCCAAAAAGUGUUCUGAAAGAAUUGGCAAUCACCCGAACAUGUCUGAAGAUAAAUGGUGAUCUGAAAGUGUUUGAAAGGAUCAUAAGUGAUCGAGAGAUGUUGUGGGAACCGAGAGUGGUUGGACUUGAUGUUUGUCUAUGGGAUCGCUAUUCUAGAUGUCAGUUGUCGUACAUAAUGUCUGUCUGAUAUGGGUGCGUCGGCCAAGGAAUGGUCGCAAGAAGUUCUGAACAUGUCUAAAUAUCAGGAUCAAAUCUGUAGAAGAUUGUGAUCAGGAAUGGUGGACUAAGUCUGGAAAAGAGUUAAGGGUUGGAAUGUGAUUCCAUCAAACGCCGAAUUCGAGGACGAAUUCAUUCUAAGUGAGGAAGAAUUGUAACACCCCUAUCCCAGUAUCGUGAUUGGGCUGAUUACCGAGGAUUAAUGAUGGGAUAGGCUGUGGUUCAAGACCUGGUCGAGCGUGUUGGGGAGUCCGCGUUAACUGUUUUGGCGGGAACGGUUAUUGGCGUGAGGAAACACGCAGAUUUAAAUGGAUUCUGUGGCGUCCCUCUUGGACACGACAGUUCUGUUCGCGAGUUUAGACGCGAGAGAAAGAAAGACAAAGGGAAUCGUCGAGAUAACUCCUAGAUUUAGAGAGGGUGGUCAAGUUUUGGGGAGUCUGUUCGAUGAUCAAUUUUUGUAUGUCCGGCGAUGGUAUGUUCACCGAAUACCAAUAUUCGUGAUUGAUGUGUGGGACCGACAGGCGGGAUGAAGAGAUCGAUAUGGGAGAUCGAGCCCGAGUCAGUGGUGGUGUACGCUUGCUGAGCGAGUAGGAGUAUGUGAUCGGGAGUACAGUUGGGGGAGGAACGAGCAUCUGGUGGUUAUCGAGUGUAUCCGGCAGUUAUCGGAGGACCGAGCGAUAACCGACAAUUUUGUAUGCGGGGGUGAGUAAUCGACACGGAUCAAUGAUAGUGAUGGUAUGUGGUACGCAUCACCGAGAGUGGUGGUACGCGGUACCGGAUUCUGAUUGUGAUAGUACACGGUACGCAUCACCGAGAGUGGUGGUACGCGGUACCGGAUUCUGAUAGUGGUAGUACGUGGUAUUCAUCACCGAGAGAGGUGGUAUGCGGUACCGGAUUCUGAUAGUGGUGGUACGCGAUUAGUGGUAUUUGUUCUGUUUGAUGUUCUGGAAGUCUGGUUAGUGUGAUGUGGAUUCCAGACAUCUCUCUCUCGGGCUAGUCAUGUGGGGAUGGUUGGCUGAGUGACUAGAUUCCGAGGGGAGAUGUUGGAUGAAACAUCUAUAGUCGAUGGUUCGGAUGUUCUGGAUCGGAAGAAAGUGCAGAGACGUGCGAGAAGCCAUGUGUAUCAGAGUGCGCACCGGGAGCGUCCGAGGAACGAGUCUGCUUCCAUGAAAGACUAAGGUAUUUUUACUAAGUCUAGCUUGGUCAUGGUAUUGUUUCUGCUGCGUAGAUUGGUUCAGAUAGGUUUCUAGCUCGAAUCUGUUUGUUUUACGAAUUUUAUGUGAGAAGUUAAAUCGUCGCCGGAAGUUUUAUCGGAAUUUUAGUCCCCGGCGAAGCUACGUUUUUUGUGUGUUCUGUGCGUCCUGCGGCCGAGGGUUUUAGAAACUGGGUCAGGGCAUUUCACUGACCUCCGGGGAAAAGACAAAGCAAGAAGAAAGCCCAACCUAGUCCAAUGAACAUCGCGGGAGGAAGAUCAAAGAAGAGAGAGCUCCUCCAGUUACAAGUGAACCCGCGCAGGAAGCUGAAUAUGGACCCGUUGAUACCUACUCAUCCCUCUAGGAGUUCACACAAUUCUCUCCAAGGGGACCAAGGGCAUGGGUUGAUGGGUGGUACUUCAGUAAUCGCAGGGGUUGAUACUUCUCAACCUUCCGUUUAUGGUUUGAUGAAUUCCCUCACAUAAAGAUAGCGAGUUGGAACUUUCAAGGGCUGGGGAAUCCCAAGACAGUUCGGCGAAUAAAGGCGAUUCAUCGAUGAUGGUCUCCUGAUUUCUUAUUCCUCAUGGUACCGUUCUGUCCAACUGAGGAUCUCUAAGGUGCGGUAGGAUCUAGUUCGCUGGAACAAGGAGAAUUUUUGAAAUAGCAAAGAAGCGAUUGAGCUUCUGCAAUUGGAGCUGGAGAAAGCAAUUGUAAGUCAUGUAAAUGAUCCCCCAUUGCUAGAAAAAUUUAAUGUCCCCCUAGAUACAGUUUAUAAGGAGGAAGAAAGCUUCUGGAAGCAGCGUAGUAGGCAAUUGUGGCUUUUUCUCGUUGAUAAGAACUCGUGAUACUUUCAUGCGGUAACCAGAAGAUGGAAGGCAAUUAACAAGUUCACGGUCAUAGAGAAUGAGGCUGGAGAAGUCUUUUUGAUGAAGUGAAGAUUGUGGAGAUAAUAUCUUUGUAUUUUCAUAAUAUGUUUGGAUCAACCGAAGCCACAGUUGAGGGUGUGGAGGACAUUGUACGUCAAGCGUUGUCUCCUUGUAUCCCUGAGGAUGUAAAUCAGAGUUUGAUUAGAGAUUCGUCGGUCGAGGAGAUAAGUGCAAAAAUAUUCAGUAUCCAUCCUGAUAAAGCUCCAAGACCGGAUGGUUUUUCUGCCUGCUUUUUCCAAACUAAUUGGACAGCGAUUAGUCCUGCCAUUGUUAGUGAAAUCCAAGAGUUCUUCAUAUCAGGGGUGGUGCUUCCGAAGCUUAAUGAGACUCAUAUUCAUCUUAUCCCUAAGGGACAGGGGCCAAGAGUGGUGGCUGAUUGCAGACCAAUUGCACUUUGCAAUGUGUAUUACAAAGUGAUUUCUAAGCUUUUAGCCAAGAGAUUACAGCCACUAUUGGAGUCUAUUAUCUCAGAAAAUCAAUCCGCAUUUAUUCAGGGAAGAGCAAUUUCGGACAAUGUCCUGAUAACUUAUGAGAUUUUACACUUCCUCAAGCAUUCUGAUGCUAGGAAAUACUGUUCAAUGGCUAAAAAGACUGAUAUGAGCAAAGUCUACGACAUAGUGGAAUGGAGCUUCAUUCAAGCCGUAUUCCAAAGAUUAGGCUUCCAUCCCAAAUGGAUAAACUGGAUCAUGCAAUGUACUUUUACAGUUUCUUAUGCCUUCCUGGUUAAUGAUUCUCCACAGGGGCGGGUAGUUCCAGUAUGAGGAAUAAGACAAGGGGAUCCCAUCUCCCCAUAUAUCUUUUUCCUAUGCAGCGAGGUCCUAUCGGGACUUUGCCACAAGGCUCAAGCGUCGGGUAAGAUGAAAGGAAUCUCUGUUGCGAGAGGAUAAAUAUCUCGGGUUACCUAAAGACGCUGCUUGGUAAGUAUGAGAAAGCGUCUAGUCAGCGAAUAAAUCCGUCAAAGUCGUCUAUAUUCUUCUCAUGAAGAACUUUAGAGAUGCAAAGACAGACGGCGAUGAGAGCACUAGGGAUUACCAAGGAGGGAGGAGUGGGUAAAUAUCUCGGGUUAACAUUUUGGAAGAAAGAAGAAAGAUCUAGUCUCCUCUAAAUAGAUGAUAGAAUCAGACAACGAGCCUUGUUGUGGUCUUCCAUGUUCCUCUCUCAAGCUGGUAAGCUUACUAUGAUGAAGAGUGUGUUGAAAGUAAUGCCAACAUACUUCUAUGUCAUGCUUCCAGUUGCCGGUGUCCCUGUGUAAUAGGAUCCAAUCUACCCUGACAAGAUUCUGGUGGGGUUCAAAGGCUGAGAAGAGGAGUAUGUGCUGGGUGGCUUGGGAGAAGUUGACAGGUAGCAAAAGGGAUGGUGGGUUAGGUUUUCGCGACCUCAGUGUUUUAAUGCGGCCUUGCUGGGUAAACUGAGCUGGAGAAUUUACUCGAAUCCUACUUGUUAGUUGGCCCGUACCCUACUGGGAAAAUAUUGUCAAGACAAAUCCUUCCUGGAGGCGGACUGCCCUAGUUCAGCAUCUCAUGGUUGGCGAAGUGUCCUUGUGGGGAGGGAUGUAUUAGCAAAGAAUCUGGGAUGGGUUGUGGGUAAUGGGAAAUCUAUUAAGAUCUGGGAGGACCCGUGGCUUUCGCUAUCAACCCCACUGCAAACUUUUGGUCCGGCUACCUUAGCCAGUAAAGAUUCAUUGGUCUCGGAUUUAUUCAUGUCAGGAACCCGGGAAUGGGAUGUGGAAAAGGUUGGGAUACUUCUCCCCGCUUUAAAGAUGUAAUCCUCAGCAUCAAACCAAGCAGAUUGGGAGCUCAAGAUAAGCUGGUCUAGUUGGGAAAUAACUUUGGAUCUUAUACUACUAAAUCAGGGUAUUUUGUGGAAAGAGGAACCUUUACUAUUGACUUUGGGCAACAUCUAAGGUCAGUAAACCGGAAAGCAGAAGUGUGGGCUAUCAAUACGGCCCCUAAUCAAGGUCUUCAUCUGGAAGACCCUCCACGAGGCGUUGCUUGCUAAACAGCAACUUAAAGAUAGGCAUAUUGAUAUUCCGGUGGCUUGUCACCGCUGUGGAGAGGUAGAAUCUAUACUGCAUUUGCUCUUCCUUUGUCCGUUUGCAAAGGAAGUGUGGAGUUACAGUCCUCUGUCUCAGGUGCUUCCUUACGAGCAAGUGGACAGUGUAAGAUUAGGACUACGUAUAGCAAACAAUUUCCUAUUUCUUCCCCGUCGGGGAUAAGUGAGGGCCCAUUGGCACCAUGGGUUUGCUGGAAUCUAUGGAAGGCAAGGAAUCAGGGGGUCUUUAACAAUCGCUUGUUCGAGGCUCAGGAAACCAUGAUUAAAGCUAUUAAUAAUGCGAAAGAAUGGUUUGGGGUACAAGAACAAAUACUGAAACGGUCUCGACCUUCUGUGCCACCUACUAGGUUUUUCCAACCUCAUGAAGGACGAAGCAUGAUAUGUGCUUUGGAUGCAUCAUGGCGGUCAGAUCUAAGAGUAGCGAGUCUGGGAUGGACAAGCUCCUGCUAUCCUCUGGGACCAUAUCCCACCACUCAGAAAUCUGCGAAAUUGUGUCUUCAGCUCUUAUGGCAGAAAUCCUUGCGUGUAGAGCUGCAAGUCAAACUGCAGUCAGACUAGGUUUUGAUCACCUUUACAUCGAGUCCGAUUGUCUACAAUUGGUUGGAGCUAUAAACUCUCGAUCAAUUAUUUUGGAACUACAUGGAGUAAUUUCGGAUAUCUUCUUAGCGCUGGAUUCUUUUGCUAGUUUUACCUGUUGCUAUAUUCCAAGAGCAGCGAAUGUUUUAGCUGACUCUAUUGCGAAAAACUAUCUAAGGGUAUAUGUUCAAAACUUUGGUUGAUUAAUAUAUAUUUGGUGUACAAAAAAAAAAUUAAUUUGGCUGUAAACUUAUUUUAUUAAUUUGAACCAAACUUAACACAAUUCUUUGA
Molecule: non-coding RNA, 12771 nt
Organism: Camelina sativa (false flax)
Lineage: Eukaryota; Viridiplantae; Streptophyta; Magnoliopsida; Brassicales; Brassicaceae
Source: RefSeq, a predicted model, not a curated record